Molecule: long non-coding RNA, 1023 nt
Filed under: Mus musculus (house mouse)
Lineage: Eukaryota; Metazoa; Chordata; Mammalia; Rodentia; Muridae
Description: predicted gene 29154
Source: RNAcentral
UUGAACAUUCCAGGCUCUGUGAACUAAGUGACUGAAGCUGAUUGACACAGGUCAAGGGGACUUCAAGGAAGAAAGCCAGCCUUAGACUGACAUCAGAGAACCAAACUCCGGUGUCUAAGCUCAAGGUGGGGUUCUGCCUCAGGUUUGUGAGGGAACUAGAAUGUCAUUGGACAGAUUUGGCAGGAGCCCUCAAGAGGAGGAGAGUCCUCCAAAGACUCCCCAGGUCUUUAAAUCCACUGUGUCCCAUCUCAAGUCCUUAACCCAUGGACUUUGGGGGAGUGGGUAUCUCGGAGUCUAUAACAGUAGACAAACCCUCAUCCCUCUCCACACAGGCUGCCAUAGGCUGGCUGCAUGAUUUCGCUAUUGUGAAUCACAUAGUGGUAGAAAUGCGCAGGUAUCUGAGAUAUGCUUGACUUAGCACACCCAGGACAAUAUAGCUAGAUCACGUGGCAGUUGUGUUCCUGUUUUGAGGGGCCUCCGUGGGACUGGUUCCCAUAGUGGAUGUACUAGUUUGCAUUCCCACCAGCAGGGUGUAAGGGUUCUGGCCUCCAGGUUCUCAUGAAUGUGUAUUGUUCUCUUGUUUUCUGGGUGACAGAUGUUCUGACUUGAGAUAGAAUCUCAAUGUCCUAUUGAUUUGUGUUCCCUAGUGGCUAAGGAUGUCAAACACAUUUUCACGUAUUUAUUGGUCGUUUGUUCUUCAUUUGAGAACUGUCUGUUCAGUUCAUUUGUCGGUUUAUUGAUUAGACUAUUUGUUCUUCUGGUGGAUUUAUUUGACAUUUCCUUCAAGUGGGCUGAGCGAGGAGGGAGGGUUCCUUUAGCAUUUUUCACUGAGGAUUUACAGGAGAUCUCUACUACUCAAGUAAUACUGGGAUAAGGAAACAGUUCAGACGGUCCCGGCACCAAGAUUGUUAAUGAAUUUUGAGCCAUUUUUUUUUUUAAAGUUAAAUUCCCAGAAGAAAACCAAACCAAACCAGGAAGUCCUUACUUGCUUGCUAGAAGUACUUCGCUGAUUCAUUUCUCAAC